AUUAUUAUUAUUACUUGUAUAUUAACUUGUUCUAACUCGUUCUAACUUGUCUUAUUAAGAUAAGUUAGGAAUUUGUUGUUUACCAUAAAAACAGGAUGUUCUUAGAUAAGAUAAGAUAAGAUUUUGUGGUUAACCACAAAUGGAAUUACGUAGGUUUACCUUGUUCUAACUUGUUUUAUUACGAUAAGAUAUGUUUAUUAACGUGUUCAGACUUGUCUUCUUAUUAAGAAAAGAUAUUUAAGAAGUGGAUGUUAUCAUUUGAUUCAGUUGGCUUCCACGAGUUAUUCGGUAAACAAGUGAGUGAUACCAUUUUUUUAAAUUCUUCUUCACAAAAGAAAUAAAAAUGGAAAAUAAUCUUCCAAAUUAUUAUAUAAAUAAUUAUGACCCAGAACCUCUAAUUGUUGAUGAACCCUCAGCUUCAACAAAUCUUGAAGACCCUUCAGGCAGUGAAAACAAUCCUUCAGGCAGUGAAAACAAUGAAGUUGGUCCAGAUGAAAUUUUAUUACAAUUAAAUCAACGAGGUGCAUGUGAAUUGCCUCCACUUAUUAAAAUUGAUUCUCUAAUUCAGAAGAAAGAAUAUAAAAUAAGAAAUCUCAUAAGAUUGAAAACAAAAACAGGAUGGGGCGUUAUAUGCGAAAUUGAUGAGGGUAACUUCUUUAUUCCUCAAAGAAUUGUAUCAAUUUUAAAUAACAGAGCCAUAAAAUAUCUGUUAAGUGGAAAAGGUUCCGUAAUAAUUUACUUAGGAAAAAAAAAUACGGGACAGGUGAACUGGGCUAAUAUUGUCGAGUUUAAAAAGAUCACAUAAUUAUGUCUGCUACUCCGUUAACAACAUUAUCAUCAUCAUCAUCAUCACCACCACCUCCAUCACCAUCAACAUCAACAUCAGCUUCCUCUUCUUUGACGUCGACUUUCGCAUUAUCAACUAUAAAUUUAGAGAAAUUUAUUGAAAUUCUACGAUGUCCAAAAAAAUAUAAAAUUUUUUUACAAAACGCUAUUUCCGAUUAUGAUUAUAAAACCUUUAAAAAUUUUAUUAGAAACAAGGAAAAAAUUUUAGAAAAUAAUCAACAACAAGCAACAAGUUUAGGAGAGAAAAAAAAAUAUGAAUACUACAUUUCAAGAGUAAAAACUUUAUUCACGCACUUUCAAGAAAAAAUAUCCUCUUCAACAAAAUAUGGAAAAGGUUUACAACAAGAUAUACGUCAGAAAAUUUCCUUUGUUAAAAUUUCAUCAGCUUUUAAUAAUCGGCUACGAACUUAUUUAAUCAGCAAUAAUUAUUACAUAGAACCGAAAUAUUUUUUUGAACAUUGCAAGGAAAUUCUAAUUAUCAAAUUUGAAAAAAUUUUACGAAAAUUAGGAGCUUUUAAAAUUAACAUUAUAUUAAAUUGUAUUUAUCAAUUAAAAGUAACUAAAGAACAUGCCUUUCGAAGUUUUAACACCCAGAAUCAAUCAGUCUUUCACUCUGAAGAAAUACCUUCAAUUUUAGAAAAUUUAUUUGAUGCUAUAUUAAAUCAGAUGGAUGAUUUCACUGAAAAUAAGUCUGGUGAAGCAUUAGAAAGUAUUGAAAAUUUGAUGAUUUCCAUAAACAAAUUAUCGAUAUUUAAUAUAUCGCAAAAUGAAGAAGAAGAAGAAGAUACCACCUCCCAUUCUAGUGACUCUGGGGGAACAUACAUUCCUCUUCCUAUUGAGCUGAAACGAAAAGGUUCUUGUUUUAUUAAUAUUUUUAAUAAUGAUAAUUAUUGUUUUGUUUAUUCUAUCUUGGCUGCACUUUUUCCUGUUAAUCACUCUAAAUAUGAGAGAGUUGAAUCUUAUCCUAGUAAUGUUCAUGAAAUUUUAAACUUAAAAAAUAUUGAAAUGCCUGUUAAAAUAAAAGAUAUUUCCAAAUUUGAAAAACAGAAUCCUACUAUUUCUAUUAAUGUAUUUAAAUUCAACGAAAAAACCCGACAAAUUGAUGGUCCUAUUUAUCAUACAAAAAAUGUAAAAGAAAAACAUAUAAAUUUAUUAUAUUUAACUAAAAAUAAUAUUAACACUAAUGGUCAUUAUUGCUUAAUUACUAAUCUUGCAAAAGCAUGUGGAAGCAGCAUAAGUAAAAAUGAGCAUCAAAUAUUUUUUUGUGAUCGUUGUUUACAACAUAUUCCUUCGAAAUCAAAAGAUAAAAUUGAUAGACAUAAACGGGAUUGUUCAACAUUUCCUGCAGUUAAAACAAGCUUACCUGAACCGAAUUCUCCAGAAAGUCUUUUACAUUUUUCACAGUUUAAGUCAUUGCUACGUUUACCAUUUGUUAUAUAUGCAGACUUUGAAUGUUUAACAGUUCCAUUAGAUACUUGUUACCCCAAUACAAAAAAUUCUUUUACGAAUCCAUAUCAAAAACAUGUUGCAUAUAGUAUAGCAUAUUUUAUUAAAUGUUCUUUUGAUAGUAAAUUAGAUAGUUUUAAGACUUAUAGAGGAGAAAAGCCUCAAGAGUGGUUUAUUUCAGAAUUAAAAGAAAUUUGCAAAUUUGUAAAUAACAUAUUGUUAAAACAAAAGAAAAUACUAAAUAAACCUCUAUCAGAAUUAGAAAAAGAGUUACAUGAAACAACUAAUAAUUGUAAUUUAUGUGGUUACAAUUUUACAGAUAAUAAUAAAAAAGUUAUACAUCAUAACCAUUUAACUGGUGAAUUUAUUUCUACAAUAUGCAAUAAUUGUAAUUUACAAAUUCAAAUUUCAAAUAAGUUGCCAGUUUUUUUACAUAAUUUGUCUGGAUAUGACGCUCACCUUUUUAUUACAGAAUUUAUUAAUAAUUUUUCAAAUACUGAAAUAAUACCAUUGAAUCAUGAAAAUUAUAUUUCAUUUUCAGGAAUACAUUGUAACAUGAAAAUUACGUUUUUAGAUUCUUUUCGCUUUCUACCUACAUCAUUAGAUAAACUUGUAUCUUUUUUAAAGCCAAAUCAGUUUUCUCUUAUGAAAGCUUUUUUCCCCAAUGUUACAGAUAAUGUUUUUCAAUUAUUAUUAAAAAAAGGAGUAUUUCCGUAUGAUUAUAUCACUUCCUUAUCUGUCUUCGAAGAUACCCAAUUACCAACAAAACCACAAUUUUUUAAUCGAAUGAUAAAUAAACAUAUUUCAGAUAAAGAUUAUUUUCAUGCACAGAAUGUUUGGGAAAAAUUUGGAAUUAAAACUUUAGGAGAAUACUCCGAUUUAUAUUUAAAAUGUGAUGUAAUUCAAUUAGCUGAUGUUUUCGAAAAUUUUCGCGACUUAACAAUGAAAUAUUACCAACUUGAUGCUGCAUCCUUCUAUACUAGUCCAGGCCUUUCAUGGGCAGCUGCUUUAAAAAUCACAAAAGUUAAACUUGAAUUGUUUACCGAUAGUGAAAUGUUUUUGUUCAUCGAAAAAUCAAUACGCGGAGGAAUUACUCAAGCGGUACAUAGAUAUGCUGAAUGUAAUAAUACACAUUAUUCAAAAACAUAUGAUCCUACAAAACCUAUAGAUUAUCUUUUUUAUAUCGAUGCUAACAAUUUAUAUGGCUGGGCUUUAAGUCAAAAGUUACCUAUUGGAAAUUUUCAUUGGUUAUCAACAAAUGAAAUUAAUGAAAUUUUCGCUGAGCCUCAAAAAUUAAAUACUAAUGAUAACAAAGGGUUUAUUUUAGAAGUUGACUUAUAUUAUGAUAAAAGUAUACACGAUGAACAUGAUGAUUUUCCUUUUUGUCCUGAACCACGAAAUUCAAAGUUAAUGUGUACGUUAUAUGAUAAACAAAAUUACGUUAUACAUUAUAAAAAUUUGUUACAGUGUAUAAAAUAUGGUUUACAAAUUAAAAAAAUUCAUCGAGUUUUAACAUUUGACCAAGACGCAUGGUUAAAACCUUAUAUUGAAUUUAAUACAAAAUUGCGUAUGGAAGCUAAAAAUGAAUUCGAGAAAGGAUUUUUUAAACUUUUAAUAAAUUCUAUCUUUGGAAAAACAUUAGAAUCAGACCGGAAAAAACGUAAAAUUGUAUUAGUAAAAAAUUGGAAACAAGCCAGAAAAUACAUUCUAAAACCAGAAUUUAAAAACGUUAAAAUACUAAAUAAGAAUUUAGUUAGCAUCGAAUUAAAUAAAACCGAAAUCAAAAUGAAAAGGCCAAUCUACGUAGGAUUUACUGUUUUAGAAUUAUCAAAAAUUAUUAUGUACGAUUUUCAUUACGAUUUUAUUAAUAAGCAAAUAAAAAAUUAUUUUCAAUCAAAAUUAUUAUAUAUGGAUACUGAUAGUUUUAUUUAUAAAAUGACAUGUAAAAAAGAAAAUUAUUCGCUUUAUGAUCUAAUACGAGAUUUUGCAAAUUCAAAAUUUGAUACUAGUGAUUAUGAUGUAAAUAAUAUUUGGAAUAUUCCUCUUGUAAAUAAAAAAAUUCCAGGAUUAAUGAAAGAUGAAUUGAAUGGUAAAAUUCUUACAGAGUUUAUUACUCUAAGACCAAAAGUUUAUGAUUAUAAAGUGAAUGGAGAAGUAAAAGAGCCUAAAAUAAAGGGAAUUAAAAAAAGUGCAGUCAUUAUAGAUUUUGUAGAUAAUGUUGAUAAUGAUAGUUAUAGGAUUACUAAUACUAGAAAAAUAGAAUUUAACGAUAUAUAUGAAUGUUUAUUUAAUAAUACAGUAGGUUAUGUUAAUUUUAAUACUAUAAGAUCAAUUAAUCAUGAACUAUUUUCUGUAAAUAUUAAUAAGUUAGGAUUAAAUGCAUUAGAUAAUAAGAGAUAUAUUUUAGAUGAUCUAAUUAGUACUCACGCUUGGGGGCAUUAUUCAAUUCCUUAACCCCUUCUAAGUUUUUGUAAAAUUUAAUACUUUUUUUAAAUAUUUUUUCCAAAUAUUAAUAAAAUAUUUGUUUGUUCUA
RNA transcript from Tribolium castaneum (red flour beetle), 4825 nucleotides. RefSeq lists it as uncharacterized. The transcript has 4 exons. The record is from RefSeq and is a predicted model, not a curated record. NCBI's taxonomy places the organism in Eukaryota, Metazoa, Arthropoda, Insecta, Coleoptera, Tenebrionidae.